CUUGACCCUUGGAAUUCAGAGAGACAUGGAUGCAAUGGGACGGGAUGUUUUUGUCGCUGACCUGCAUGUGACACGAACAUGGCUACCUCCCACCAACGGCGAUCCCCUGCUCCAUUUCCCAAAAGAUGCCAUCAUCAUCCCACUGUCCGGGGCAUUUUCUGCUGAGUG
Non-coding RNA from Nothobranchius furzeri (turquoise killifish), 168 nucleotides. Lineage: Eukaryota; Metazoa; Chordata; Actinopteri; Cyprinodontiformes; Nothobranchiidae. The record is from RefSeq and is a predicted model, not a curated record.